RNAcentral lists this ribosomal RNA (497 nucleotides) under uncultured bacterium. RNAcentral describes it as "partial 16S ribosomal RNA". It matches the Rfam family "Bacterial small subunit ribosomal RNA", at positions 28 to 507 of the family's 1533-position model. The record is from RNAcentral.
GAUGAACGCUGGCGGCGUGCCUAAUACAUGCAAGUCGAGCGAACGGACGAGAAGCUUGCUUCUCUGAUGUUAGCGGCGGACGGGUGAGUAACACGUGGAUAACCUACCUAUAAGACUGGGAUAACUUCGGGAAACCGGAGCUAAUACCGGAUAAUAUUUUGAACCGCAUGGUUCAAAAGUGAAAGACGGUCUUGCUGUCACUUAUAGAUGGAUCCGCGCUGCAUUAGCUAGUUGGUAAGGCAACGGCUUACCAAGGCAACGAUGCAUAGCCGACCUGAGAGGGUGAUCGGCCACACUGGAACUGAGACACGGUCCAGACUCCUACGUGAGGCAGCAGUAGGGAAUCUUCCGCAAGGGGCGAAAGCCUGACGGAGCAACGCCGCGUGAGUGAUGAAGGUCUUCGGAUCGUAAAACUCUGUUAUUAGGGAAGAACAUAUGUGUAAGUAACUGUGCACAUCUUGACGGUACCUAAUCAGAAAGCCACGGCUAACUACGUG